This 569-nucleotide long non-coding RNA is filed under the name Papio anubis (olive baboon). Its description in RNAcentral is "lncRNA (ENSPANG00000042255.1)". Lineage: Eukaryota; Metazoa; Chordata; Mammalia; Primates; Cercopithecidae. The record is from RNAcentral.
CCCAAAUUUCAUUUUGAAUUGUAAUCCCUGUGUCUCAAGGGAGGAUCCUGGUGGGAGGUGAUUGAAUUAUGGGAGUGGUUUACCCUAUUCUGUUCUACUAAUAGUGAGUGAGUCUCAGGAGAUCUGAUGGUUUUAAAAGUGGCAGUUUUUCUUGUGCACGCUCUCUCUCUCACCUGCCGGCAUGUAAGAAGUGCCUUACAUCUUGAUUCUAUGCCCACAAUCAUUGUUAUCACUGCAAUAAGAGUUGCAAAAGUUGGACACAUGGAUGAGACAGAGAUCUGAUUAAUGAAAAUAACUUUAUUUUAGAGGGAAGUGGACUGUAAAUGGAAUUCUAAAAAUUCCAUCCUACCUUCCAGGAGAUGUGGGUUACCUCUAAACUUAAGCAAAGUAGUGUUGGAUAUUGUGAAGAAUAUCUCUCAACUGGAUUGUCUGAUGUUUUCCCUACGAUUAGACUGAGAUUACCAGUUUUGGGGAGAAAGAUCACAAAGACUCCACUACAGACCUGGAUGUGGUCGUGCCUGUGGAGGCAGAAGGGCUGUGGGGAGUUUUCAUUCAGCAGCCUAGUCUGA